Long non-coding RNA from Cicer arietinum (chickpea), 426 nucleotides. RefSeq lists it as uncharacterized. The record is from RefSeq and is a predicted model, not a curated record. NCBI's taxonomy places the organism in Eukaryota, Viridiplantae, Streptophyta, Magnoliopsida, Fabales, Fabaceae.
CACUUUGGCUAAAUGCAGUAGGUCUCGGAAGAGUUCAAACAUUAUGUCUUGCAUCUGUUGGAGAAACCUAUGCUCAGGCCAGCUUCCAUGAAGCUGCUCUAAAGAUACUGCGACCGACUCUACUUGAAAGAUACCCCAAAAGAUAAGCUCAAGAACGACGUCUGCGAACAUUGUGUCAGUUCCGACAAGCUAGGUUUCGAAGGAAACAAUUAAUUAAUUUAAGAAGACUCUCCACCUUCCCUAACAAUACUACAAAUAAUGAAGCUCAAGAUCAGCGUCUGCGAACAUUGGGUCAGUUCCGACAAGCUAGGUUUCGAAGGAAACAAUUAAUUAAUUUAAGAAGACUCUCCACCUUCCCUAACAAUACUACAAAUAAUGGUAUUUAGUUACUGUUAUUCUAUUUUGUUCUUAUGAUUUAAAUUUAAA